CCUACGGGAGGCAGCAGUGAGGAAUAUUGGUCAAUGGACGCAAGUCUGAACCAGCCAAGUAGCGUGAAGGAUGACGGCCCUAUGGGUUGUAAACUUCUUUUAUGAGGGAAUAAAGUGAGGCACGUGUGCCUUUUUGUAGGUACCUUAUGAAUAAGGACCGGCUAACUCCGUGCCAGCAGCCGCGGUAAUACGGAGGGUCCGAGCGUUAUCCGGAUUUAUUGGGUUUAAAGGGAGCGCAGGCGGCCUGUUAAGUGUGUUGUGAAAGUCUGUGGCUCAACCGUGGAAUUGCAGUUGGUACUGGGGGGCUUGAGUACAGUGGAGGUAGGCGGAAUGCGUGGUGUAGCGGUGAAAUGCUUAGAUAUCACGAAGAACUCCGAUUGCGAAGGCAGCCUACCAAACCGUUACUGACACUGAUGCUCGAAAGUGUGGGUAUCAAACAGGAUUAGAUACCCGGGUAGUC
This 460-nucleotide ribosomal RNA is filed under the name uncultured bacterium. RNAcentral's name for it is "partial 16S ribosomal RNA". It matches the Rfam family "Bacterial small subunit ribosomal RNA", at positions 338 to 795 of the family's 1533-position model. The record is from RNAcentral.